RNAcentral lists this ribosomal RNA (393 nucleotides) under uncultured bacterium. RNAcentral describes it as "bacterial SSU rRNA". It matches the Rfam family "Bacterial small subunit ribosomal RNA", at positions 28 to 422 of the family's 1533-position model. The record is from RNAcentral.
GACGAACGCUGGCGGCGUGCUUAACACAUGCAAGUCGAGCGGUAAGGCCCUUUCGGGGGUACACGAGCGGCGAACGGGUGAGUAACACGUGGGUGACCUGCCUUUAGCUCUGGGAUAAGCCUGGGAAACUGGGUCUAAUACCGGAUAUGACUCCGCGGUGCAUGCUGUGGGGUGGAAAGCCUUGUGCGGCUGGAGAUGGGCCCGCGGCCUAUCAGCUUGUUGGUGGGGUGANGGCCUACCAAGGCGACGACGGGUAGCCGGCCUGAGAGGGCGACCGGCCACACUGGGACUGAGACACGGCCCAGACUCCUACGGGAGGCAGCAGUGGGGAAUCUUGCGCAAUGGGCGAAAGCCUGACGCAGCGACGCCGCGUGAGGGAUGACGGCCUGGUGU